RNAcentral lists this non-coding RNA (29 nucleotides) under Mus musculus (house mouse). The record is from RNAcentral. Lineage: Eukaryota; Metazoa; Chordata; Mammalia; Rodentia; Muridae.
UAGGUGUGGUUGGCUUUUCUGAUUGUGCG